This 21-nucleotide non-coding RNA is filed under the name Caenorhabditis elegans. Lineage: Eukaryota; Metazoa; Nematoda; Chromadorea; Rhabditida; Rhabditidae. The record is from RNAcentral.
UCGUAUAAUUGCAUUUAUUAA